CCUACGGGAGGCAGCAGUAGGGAAUUUUGCGCAAUGGGCGAAAGCCUGAUGCAGCAACGCCGCGUGAGUGAAUAAGCCCUUCGGCGCGUAAAGCUCUAUCAGCAGGGAAGAAACAGACGGUACCUGAGUAAGAAGCCCCGGCUAACUACGUGCCAGCAGCCGCGGUAAUACGUAGGGGGCAAGCGUUAUCCGGAUUUACUGGGUGUAAAGGGAGCGCAGACGGCGAAGCAAGCCUGAAGUGAAAGCCCGGGGCUUAACCCCGGAACUGCUCUGGAAACUGUGUGGCUGGAGUGCCGGAGAGGUAGGCGGAAUUCCGAGUGUAGCGGUGAAAUGCGUAGAUAUUAGGAGGAACACCAGUGGCGAAGGCGGCUUACUGGACGGUAACUGACGUUGAGGCUCGAAAGCGUGGGGAGCAAACAGGAUUAGAUACCCCAGUAGUC
This 440-nucleotide ribosomal RNA is filed under the name uncultured bacterium. RNAcentral describes it as "partial 16S ribosomal RNA". It matches the Rfam family "Bacterial small subunit ribosomal RNA", at positions 338 to 795 of the family's 1533-position model. The record is from RNAcentral.